UAAGGAAUAUUGGACAAUGGCCGCAAGGCUGGUCCAGCCAUCCAGCGUGCAGGAAGAAGGCCCUAUGGGUUGUAAACUGCUUUUAUCAGGGAAGAUACCUCUGGAUUUACUCCGGAGCUGACGGUACCUGAAGAAUAAGCACCGGCUAACUCCGUGCCAGCAGCCGCGGUAAUACGGAGGGUGCGAGCGUUAUCCGGAAUUACUGGGUUUAAAGGGUGCGUAGGCGGCUUUGUAAGUCAGGAGUGAAAGUUUGCGGCUCAACCGUAAAAUUGCUUUUGAUACUGCAGAGCUAGAAUCAGGAUGAGGUCAGCGGAAUGUGGCAUGUAGCGGUGAAAUGCAUAGAUAUGCCAUAGAACACCAAUUGCGAAGGCGGCUGGCUAGACCUGUAUUGACGCUGAGGCACGAAAGCGUGGGGAGCGAACAGGAUUAGAUACCCUGGUAGUCCACGCCCUAAACGAUGCUUACUCGACGUAUGGCCCUU
This 481-nucleotide ribosomal RNA is filed under the name uncultured Bacteroidota bacterium. Its description in RNAcentral is "bacterial SSU rRNA". It matches the Rfam family "Bacterial small subunit ribosomal RNA", at positions 355 to 832 of the family's 1533-position model. The record is from RNAcentral. Lineage: Bacteria; Pseudomonadati; Bacteroidota.